CGGACGGGUGAGUAACACGUGGAUAACCUACCUAUAAGACUGGGAUAACUUCGGGAAACCGGAGCUAAUACCGGAUAAUAUAUUGAACCGCAUGGUUCAAUAGUGAAAGACGGUUUUGCUGUCACUCAUAGAUGGAUCCGCGCCGCAUUAGCUAGUUGGUAAGGUAACGGCUUACCAAGGCAACGAUGCGUAGCCGACCUGAGAGGGUGAUCGGCCACACUGGAACUGAGACACGGUCCAG
Molecule: ribosomal RNA, 241 nt
Filed under: uncultured Staphylococcus sp.
Lineage: Bacteria; Bacillati; Bacillota; Bacilli; Caryophanales; Staphylococcaceae
Description: partial 16S ribosomal RNA
Rfam family: Bacterial small subunit ribosomal RNA
Source: RNAcentral